GCCGACAGUCCAGGUGUGCAAAAGACUAAUGAGAUGGCAUUUAACUACCCACAUGGAUUCCCUUCCGGCACAAUGAGGUGGAUUAUUAAAGAAAUGCCAUUUAUUUAAUGAAACCCAAUUUUUGAUGAGGAUGGAUUCUGAAAUUAGGGUUUUUUACUUUUCUUAUGUGAAAACCAUAGUGAGGUUCGAGGUUAAGCAAUCUUCUUUCCAAUCUUGGUGGUUGAGGAGUCAUGUUUACUUCCCAAUCUUCUUCUUAUUGUUGUUGCAAUAGCUUGGGCCACCAAAAUUGUCAUUCCUCACAUGGUGGUGGUUCAAUGGGGGUAGGGAUAAUCCUCAUUUGCAAUAAUAUGCAGCAUGUUAGGCCUAAAAGCCACAAUCUGCAACAAACUAGACCCCAACAAGCACCACUUCCUAAAGCUUCCAAAAUCAGAAGGCAAGAACCCCAUUUCCCCACCAAUUUCUCUGCAUUACCAAAUCCACUCUUUGUUGCACCAUCUCCACUAUUCACAAAAAUCUCAGCCAAAGGGGUUAUCCACAACAAAGAUACAAAUAUAACUAGCA
This 561-nucleotide long non-coding RNA is filed under the name Vigna radiata. RNAcentral's name for it is "long non-coding RNA (VRAD_LNC018347)". The record is from RNAcentral. Lineage: Eukaryota; Viridiplantae; Streptophyta; Magnoliopsida; Fabales; Fabaceae.